GCCAGACUCCUACGGGAGGCAGCAGUGGGGGAUAUUGCACAAUGGGGGGAACCCUGAUGCAGCGACGCCGCGUGGGCGAUGGAGUACUUCGGUAUGUAAAGCCCUAUCAGCAGGGAAGAAAAUGACGGUACCUGACUAAGAAGCCCCGGCUAAAUACGUGCCAGCAGCCGCGGUAAUACGUAGGGGGCAAGCGUUAUCCGGAUUUACUGGGUGUAAAGGGAGCGUAGACGGCUAAUCAAGUCAGAAGUGAAAACCCAGGGCUCAACCUUGGGAGUGCUUUUGAAACUGAGUAGCUAGAGUGCAGGAGAGGUAAGCGGAAUUCCUAGUGUAGCGGUGAAAUGCGUAGAUAUUAGGAGGAACACCAGUGGCGAAGGCGGCUUACUGGGCUGUAACUGACGUUGAGGCUCGAAAGCGUGGGGAGCAAACAGGAUUAGAUACCCCUGUACA
Molecule: ribosomal RNA, 447 nt
Filed under: uncultured bacterium
Lineage: Bacteria
Description: bacterial SSU rRNA
Rfam family: Bacterial small subunit ribosomal RNA
Source: RNAcentral